CCUACGGGGGGCAGCAGUGAGGAAUAUUGGACAAUGGGCGCAAGCCUGAUCCAGCCAUGCCGCGUGAGUGAUGAAGGCCCUAGGGUUGUAAAACUCUUUUAGUGGGAAAAUGGUACCCACAGAAAAAGCUCCGGCUAACUUCGUGCCAGCAGCCGCGGUAAUACGAAGGGAGCUAGCGUUACUCGGAAUCACUGGGCGUAAAGCGCAUGUAGGCGGAACUACAAGUCAGGGGUGAAAUCCCGGGGCUCAACCCCGGAAUUGCCUUUGAAACUGUAGUUCUUGAGUAUGACAGAGGAUGGUGGAAUUUCCAGUGUAGAGGUGAAAUUCGUAGAUAUUGGAAAGAACACCGGUGGCGAAGGCGACCAUCUGGCAUAACUGACGCUGAGAUGCGAAAGCGUGGGGAGCGAACGGGAUUAGAUACCCUUGUAGUC
RNAcentral lists this ribosomal RNA (431 nucleotides) under uncultured bacterium. Its description in RNAcentral is "partial 16S ribosomal RNA". It matches the Rfam family "Bacterial small subunit ribosomal RNA", at positions 338 to 795 of the family's 1533-position model. The record is from RNAcentral.